UCUACAUCCCUAACUCGCUGUGAGACAAGGGGAGAGCAGCGCUUAUAGUUCAUCUGAGAGGAGGGCGACUGCUUCUAUUUACAUACCUACACAGGACAGAGGCCAAAACUAUACAUCUGCAGAAGUGUGAAACACCGCCACCGCUGCUAUGUCGUCAUAAGGUGGAGAUGCCUUACCCGUAUCACCGGGGAUCACAUGUGACACGCUUGGGCCCCAGUAAUGUAUAUCAAUAUAGCCAGUCUCUUCUUCUUCUUUUAUAAGGAUUUAUCUUUUUUGUGCAUUGUAAUUCUGGCCCCUCUAUCCUUCCCAUAUGGACCCCUUGAGGAACCCGAGUUGGGGGAAACGUGUCGGGGUAAAAGGAAUAAUGCACCAGGAAAUAAUUCCAGAGCACAGCAGUUCUUAUGAGCCCAAGGAGCAUCUGCCAGUCAGAUUACUUCCUAUGCCAUCUUGCCUGAACACCUGUUAAUACCAUACAACAAUAGGUUUAACCCAUCAGCCACACGUACCUGGCAAAGAGGGGGAUACUGGAGAGUCGCUGUCCGAGGCAGCAUCAAAGCACA
Bufo gargarizans (Asiatic toad) is the source of this 560-nucleotide long non-coding RNA. RefSeq lists it as uncharacterized. The transcript is spliced from 4 exons. The record is from RefSeq and is a predicted model, not a curated record. Lineage: Eukaryota; Metazoa; Chordata; Amphibia; Anura; Bufonidae.